Non-coding RNA from Paramuricea clavata, 1034 nucleotides. NCBI's taxonomy places the organism in Eukaryota, Metazoa, Cnidaria, Anthozoa, Malacalcyonacea, Plexauridae. The record is from the annotation of a GenBank genome assembly.
UUUUUUUCAGGUAGUAAUAUAACCACUCAGCACAGCAAGUCAGUCACAUUGGUACCACCCACACUGGCACAGACAGUUUUAGUAUGUUCACAGAACAACUGAACAAUCUGCUGAUGGGGAGACAAAAUUUAUUUGUUGACAUUUCUGUUUAAUACGUCAGCUUCAGAUGACAUCGUUCAUUUGUAAUGACUAAGAUUGUACUCAGUCAUAACUGCAAAACUAUAUAAUAAGAAAGAAAUUGCGAGCAUUAUCAAAAAAUAUAACCCUGAACACAGCCAGGUGAAUAUGUGAAUGUAGGUUGGUAGCCGGUAGGACUAUUUCAUAUUAUGCUAACAAUGGACAUAUCUCAGAGAAUAUAUUUUCACAGACCGUCAUAUACCUUGACAUGUUAUACUACAUGUAACUGCUGGUAAGUUAGCUAAUAUGUGCAGACAACCAUCCACACUGGUCACUGGGUUAAACUGCAUGCAUGUGUUGCUAUAGGAAUAUGAAAUAUCUUUACAUUAUAUUAAAAGCAUACACAACAUUCCGCGUUUGUUUUUAAAACGUGCUGAAAGCACAUAAUUUGCUAUAUCUACAGUAGGAACAUCUAGAAUGAACACUAUAAACUCAUCGCGCCACACAAACAAAUAAACCAAAAGUACAUUUUGACUCCUCAAUGUGCCGAUAAAUUGGUGAAAUCAUUUUGAUUAUUGUUUCAAUUACCUCAUAUCGAACACUUUCAACAGCAGAUCUAAAUAUAAAUGCCUUCAUGUAAUAUCACCAGAAAGAAAUAAAGCUAUAUCCUUACCUGAAUUAUUCAAAAUAUUGUCGAUUUGUGAAAAUCCAACAUGUCAGUAAUCAUGCGAGCGCAAUACAAAAUAAAUUUUGACCGCCCCCCUCGUUUAAAAAAACUUCCUGAAGCCUUAAUUAUUUCCCCGGAAUUACGACAUCUUUACAUACAAACAUACAGACAGACACAAAUUCACAAAAUCGAAAUCUCGAUCGACUUCAUAACUCGGCCAAAGAGACUGGACACAAGUAAACGCAGGCAC